ACCUCUCAGACAUGCAAUGCACAUGGCCCACAGGGCUCUCAUAGAUGCCCUAGGGGAUUCAUUGAGGUCGUCGCCACAGGACAGAGGAAAGAGAGCACGCUGACAUUCUCAAUGCCACCCCCACCUCAGCUCCUGCCCGUCCAUCUGCAACUGCUGCUUAUUUCUGAAGACUCAGUCUCCUAACACCAUCAAUGUUUGGCCUUGGAGCGUCAUCUGGCUCUGGUUUUCCCUGCUUCUUCCCACGUUUCUCAUGACAGAGUCCUUUUGCUGGAGCUUCUUAAAUGUUCAUUGGAAACUAACAACUGUUAAAACUUUCAAGACUAAGGUGAUGAAGUUAAGUGGGUUGUGGGGAAUUGCAGGCUGGUAUCCAGUCGAGCUGAGGUCUGAACCCCGAUGGUCAUAAUUCACCUCCAUGACACGGACAGGAACAUAAAAUGGUGGCUCGUGUCAUCAGGCAUCAACAGUGGCAGCAUAGCCCAGAGUUGGAAGAUGUGCUCUAGAAUUACUCUGCUGAGCAGCCCAGUGUCUGGAUGUGAAGAAGUGGAAAUUUUGUUCUUCUAAGUCACUACAAUUUGAAAGUUUUUGUUUCUUCAGUACACAUGAUUAUCAGAAGAGCUGGCAUUGGAACCAUCCUUACUCCAGCAUCUGCACUUGUCCACUUCCCUACAAUUUGUCCAUCUUCGAUUAGCUAAACCAAAAAGGUUUAAAGCAGACCUCUGUUCAGAGCAACUAUGAGUCAUGAAACGCUGGGUUGUGACCUCUGGCAUGUGUCUGGAGUCCACUACUUCCUCUGAAAGCCGCACAUUGAGAGUCUCCAGCUACACCGGUGGGUGCUCUGGUCCCUGCAGAGACAUCUAAGGACAAAGAACUCUACCAGGAUGGUUUCUGAGAAGGGAUAUUUCAAAAAUCCAAUGUGGGGAACUAGAAGGUUUUGUCAGAAUCUCUUCCCUGGUUUCCAAACUGAAGCUCACUUUCCUUCAGGCUAUCUGAGGUAGGGUAGACCAUCCACGACAGCAUCCUCGGGAAAUGCACAUUCCUGUCUGACCUUUGGAGCACAGCUACAGUUUCAGAAUGCUUGGUGAGAAAUCGGUUUUCCUUGAAUAUACAUGUAGUAAAUUGUCAGUGAGUUACAAACUC
RNAcentral lists this long non-coding RNA (1137 nucleotides) under Mus musculus (house mouse). RNAcentral's name for it is "predicted gene, 47663". The record is from RNAcentral. Lineage: Eukaryota; Metazoa; Chordata; Mammalia; Rodentia; Muridae.